Molecule: ribosomal RNA, 549 nt
Filed under: uncultured bacterium
Lineage: Bacteria
Description: bacterial SSU rRNA
Rfam family: Bacterial small subunit ribosomal RNA
Source: RNAcentral
GCUUUAAUUUGAUCAUGGCUCAGAAUCACGGUGGUNACGUGCCUAACACAUGCAAGUCGAACGAGAAAGGGGAGCAAUCCCUGAGUAAAGUGGCGACCGGGUGAGUAACACGUGACCAACCUACCUUCGAGUGGGGGAUAACCUCGGGAAACCGGGGCUAAUACCGCAUAACCUCCUCGGGACGGAAGUUCUGGGGAGCAAAGGAGCAAUUCGCUUGAAGAGGGGGUCGCGGCCGAUUAGUUAGUUGGCGGGGUAACGGCCCACCAAGACGAAGAUCGGUAGCCGGCCUGAGAGGGCGCACGGCCACACUGGAACUGAAACACGGUCCAGACUCCUACGGGAGGCAGCAGUGGGGAAUUUUGCGCAAUGGGGGAAACCCUGACGCAGCAACGCCGCGUGGAGGAUGAAGUCCCUUGGGACGUAAACUCCUUUCGACCGGGACGAUAAUGACGGUACCGGUGGAAGAAGCCCCGGCUAACUUCGUGCCAGCAGCCGCGGUAAUACGAGGGGGGCGAGCGCUGUUCGGAAUUAUUGGGCGUAAAGGGCGCG